Molecule: long non-coding RNA, 206 nt
Filed under: Phoenix dactylifera (date palm)
Lineage: Eukaryota; Viridiplantae; Streptophyta; Magnoliopsida; Arecales; Arecaceae
Description: long non-coding RNA (PDAC_LNC016536)
Source: RNAcentral
CCAAUUAGCCUCUCUAUAAAUGUACCCGACCUAGAAUGUAACUUCGUCUCUCACCAUGGCUCGUAUGUCUCAAAGCAAGAGGUGGUGCACAUCCAUGCAGCCGAUGUUCUCUGAAUCCAGCCGAUCGUCGUGGCCGAGUCACCUUCAAGUAGGACUGUUUUGACCAGUAGAACACGCCGUAUAUAACUUAGACCAAUCCACACCGC